CCUACGGGUGGCAGCAGUGGGGAAUAUUGCACAAUGGGGGAAACCCUGAUGCAGCGACGCCGCGUGAGGGAAGAAGUAAUUCGGUAUGUAAAGCUCUAUCAGCAGGGAAGAAAAUGACGGUACCUGAGUAAGAAGCCCCGGCUAACUACGUGCCAGCAGCCGCGGUAAUACGUAGGGGGCAAGCGUUAUCCGGAUUUACUGGGGGUAAAGGGAGCGUAGACGGCAGUGCAAGUCUGGAGUGAAAGGCUGGGGCUCAACCCCGGGACUGCUUUUGAAACUGUACGGCUGGAGUGCAGGAGAGGUAAGUGGAAUUCUUGGUGUAGCGGUGAAAUGCGUAGAGAUCAGGAGGAACACUAGUGGCGAAGGCGGCUUACUGGACUGUAACUGACGUUGAGGCUCGAAAGCGUGGGGAGCAAACAGGAUUAGAUACCCUAGUAGUC
Molecule: ribosomal RNA, 440 nt
Filed under: uncultured bacterium
Lineage: Bacteria
Description: partial 16S ribosomal RNA
Rfam family: Bacterial small subunit ribosomal RNA
Source: RNAcentral